RNAcentral lists this ribosomal RNA (488 nucleotides) under uncultured Lachnospiraceae bacterium. Its description in RNAcentral is "bacterial SSU rRNA". It matches the Rfam family "Bacterial small subunit ribosomal RNA", at positions 8 to 507 of the family's 1533-position model. The record is from RNAcentral. Lineage: Bacteria; Bacillati; Bacillota; Clostridia; Lachnospirales; Lachnospiraceae.
AGAGUUUGAUCCUGGCUCAGGAUGAACGCUGGCGGCGUGCUUAACACAUGCAAGUCGAACGGACAGGUAAUGAAACCUAGUGAUUUAUCUGUUAGUGGCGGACGGGUGAGUAACGCGUGGGUAACCUGCCGUAUACAGGGGGAUAACACUUAGAAAUAGGUGCUAAAACCGCAUAAGCGCACAGGAUCGCAUGGUCCGGUGUGAAAAACUCCGGUGGUAUACGAUGGACCCGCGUCUGAUUAGCUUGUUGGCGGGGUAGAGGCCCACCAAGGCGACGAUCAGUAGCCGGCCUGAGAGGGUGAACGGCCACAUUGGGACUGAGACACGGCCCAAACUCCUACGGGAGGCAGCAGUGGGGAAUAUUGCACAAUGGGGGAAACCCUGAUGCAGCGACGCCGCGUGGGUGAAGAAGUAUUUCGGUAUGUAAAGCUCUAUCAGCAGGAAAGAAAAUGACGGUACCUGACUAAGAAGCCCCGGCUAACUACGUG